GACUCGGUGGCGGAUGGUCCGCGCCUGUCCGAUCUUGCCAGUGAAUGAGAGAUUUCUCAUGCAGGAGCCGCCCGUUCGAUUCGGGGCCGAGUCA
Mycena epipterygia is the source of this 94-nucleotide non-coding RNA. The record is from the annotation of a GenBank genome assembly. Lineage: Eukaryota; Fungi; Basidiomycota; Agaricomycetes; Agaricales; Mycenaceae.